CAGCUGCAACUCGACUGCACGAAGCUGGAAUCGCUAGCAAUCGCGGAUCAGCACGCCGCGGUGAAUACGUUCCCGGGCCUUGUACACACCGCCCGUCACACCAUGGAAGUCUGCAAUGCCCGAAGCCGGUGGCCUAACCACUUAUGUGGAAGGAGCCGUCUAAGGCAGGGCAGAUGACUGGGGUGAAGUCGUAACAAGGUAUC
This 203-nucleotide ribosomal RNA is filed under the name uncultured bacterium. Its description in RNAcentral is "partial 16S ribosomal RNA". It matches the Rfam family "Bacterial small subunit ribosomal RNA", at positions 1301 to 1500 of the family's 1533-position model. The record is from RNAcentral.